Molecule: long non-coding RNA, 839 nt
Organism: Pongo pygmaeus (Bornean orangutan)
Lineage: Eukaryota; Metazoa; Chordata; Mammalia; Primates; Hominidae
Exons: 3
Source: RefSeq, a predicted model, not a curated record
GUUCCGAAGCCCCCGCCGAAGACCCCUUGGAACUGGUGUCUGAGAUGGGCGAAUUCAGCAACGAGGACAUCUGCCGCUACAUCGACCGCAGCUUCUCCUUCUGGAAGGAGAAGGAGGCAGAGCUGUUUGACAUCUGAGCAGCGGAAUUCGGAAUUCGCAGUUGACCGUGGAGCGUCUUAACGUGGGCCUGGACGCCUGUCUGACGCCCUCCAGAGGCGUGAAGCAGCGGGAAGAACCCAGGAGUGUGGCCUUGAGCAGCCUGGAGGGCCCAGGACCAGGCUGCCUCAGCCUCUGAGGUCUCAUGGAGGAGGAGGAGGAGGCCUGGCUGGCCAGCAUGCCCGCCUGGAGGCGGGACCUCCUGCGGAAGAAGCUGGAAGAAGAGAGGGAGCAGAAGCGGUGAGUGCAGGGCUGGCCCCAACCUGCCACCCUUACCCCCACCCAAGUCACAGAGGGUCGUCCCUUCAUCCAGGCCAACUUAAGUGCACCCUCCUGUCUCUUGGCCCUUGUAGCACAGCCUCCUUCCUCCCUGUAAUAUCCCAGACUGCUGUCCCCCAGAAUCUCUCUUUCAUGCUCUGAGAACUUUGUUCCCGGUUACUCAGUCCCUGCCUCCUAUUAACCUGGCCUUUUCUACCCUUCAGUGAACCUAACCCCAGUAUCAAUCACCUUGAUUGUCUGGCCCUUAGAACGUGUUUUCUGCCCCUAGUAAUUUCACCCAGCCCAGUGCUGUCCGAUAGAAAUAUAAUGAGAGCCACAGAUGUGAUUUAAAAUUUUCUAGUAGCCACAGUGAAAAUGUAGAAGGAUAUAGGUGAGCUUAGUUUUAGUACUAUUUGACACAAAAU